This 768-nucleotide long non-coding RNA is filed under the name Mytilus galloprovincialis (Mediterranean mussel). Lineage: Eukaryota; Metazoa; Mollusca; Bivalvia; Mytilida; Mytilidae. The record is from RNAcentral.
CUUGAACUGAUGUCAUUCCUCAAGAAGAGUGUUGUUUAUCUUCUGAAAAUUAUGUCCGUAGAUUCUAUACAAUUAACGGUAGAUUCAACUUUAACACCAGAUGAACUUUCAAUGGAGGGAAGGAAUAUAACUAAUUUAUUUCCAUCCACAGCGUAUGCAUACUUCCUUAGUUUUCUUUGUCAUUAUCACCUCAAUAAUGUUAGACAGUGUCAGGAUUCCUUAGAAGGUCUAGAAACUUGUAAUAGCAGAAAGUUAUUUGAUACCAAAUUGGAAUACAGAAAAUGCCUACAUUUUAUUAGGGAUUUCUUUAGAAUUACAUGGCAACAAGGAAUCCGCACGAUAAGCUUUCUUAUAAUCUUUGUCAAUCUCCCCCAGACAAAUCAUACAAUUCUGCCAAAUGGAGACUUUUGUAAUACUGUGAAGAUGAUGACGGUAAACACUAUUUUUCGAGUAAAUUAUAUAAGAGAAAUAUAUGUUUGAUUGGAAAUGAUAUGCGCAUGACAAUUCAUGGACCGUGUAUAACUGACGAUAUAAGAAAUUUGAUUUUGCUUGCUCUCUACAUUGAAAAAUUCGGAUAUCUUCUGCAGUACAUUGAAUAACACGACCAGGUAACUCAUGGCCAAGGCAAAAUUUCUAGAAAAGCAUUAUAAAACACGGGGUACUUUUUGUACCGAUAGGAGUUCACGGAUCACCUAAAGAAGGGUAAGAAUGGCGAGUAUCCUUUUCAGUGGCGGAGAUGUUUCUUAUAAAUACAUGUACGCACACCCA